AUUGAACGCUGGCGGCAUGCUUUACACAUGCAAGUCGAACGGUAGAGGGGGCAACCCCUUGAGAGUGGCGAACGGGUGAGUAAUGCAUCGGAACGUGCCCAGUCGUGGGGGAUAACGCAGCGAAGGCUGUGCUAAUACCGCAUACGAUCUCUGGAUGAAAGCGGGGGACCGAAAGGCCUCGCGCGAUUGGAGCGGCCGAUGUCAGAUUAGGUAGUUGGUGGGGUAAAGGCUCACCAAGCCAACGAUCUGUAGCUGGUCUGAGAGGACGACCAGCCACACUGGGAAUAAGACACGGCCCAGACUCCUGCGGGAGGCAGCAGUGGGGAAUUUUGGACAAUGGGCGCAAGCCUGAUCCAGCAAUGCCGCGUGCAGGAAGAAGGCCUUCGGGUUGUAAACUGCUUUUGUACGGAACGAAAAGGUCUGGGUUAAUACCCUGGGCACAUGACGGUACCGUAAGAAUAAGCACCGGCUAACUACGUGCCAGCCGCCGCAGUAA
Molecule: ribosomal RNA, 496 nt
Filed under: uncultured bacterium
Lineage: Bacteria
Description: partial 16S ribosomal RNA
Rfam family: Bacterial small subunit ribosomal RNA
Source: RNAcentral